Molecule: ribosomal RNA, 312 nt
Filed under: Triticum aestivum (bread wheat)
Lineage: Eukaryota; Viridiplantae; Streptophyta; Magnoliopsida; Poales; Poaceae
Description: partial small subunit ribosomal RNA
Source: RNAcentral
AUGUCCGGCCGCGGCAAGGGAGGCAAGGGGCUCGGCAAGGGCGGCGCCAAGCGCCACCGGAAGGUGCUGCGCGACAACAUCCAGGGCAUCACCAAGCCGGCGAUCCGGCGCCUCGCUCGGAGGGGCGGCGUGAAGCGCAUCUCCGGCCUCAUCUACGAGGAGACCCGCGGCGUGCUCAAGAUCUUCCUCGAGAACGUCAUCCGCGACGCCGUCACCUACACGGAGCACGCCCGCCGCAAGACCGUCACCGCCAUGGACGUCGUCUACGCGCUCAAGCGCCAGGGCCGCACCCUCUACGGCUUCGGCGGCUAG